UAGUGGCAGACGGGUGAGUAAUGCGUAGGAAUCUACCUAGUAGUACGGAAUAGCCAUUAGAAAUGGUGGGUAAUACUGUAUAAUCCCCGAGGGGGAAAGAUUUAUCGCUAUUAGAUGAGCCUACGUUAGAUUAGCUAGUUGGUGAGGUAAUGGCUUACCAAGGCUAUGAUCUAUAGCUGGUCUGAGAGGACGAUCAGCCACACUGGAACUGAGAUACGGUCCAGACUCCUACGGGAGGCAGCAGUGGGGAAUAUUGGACAAUGGGCGAAAGCCUGAUCCAGCUAUGCCGCGUGAGUGAAGAAGGCCUUCGGGUUGUAAAACUCUUUCAAUAGGGAAGAUAAUGCCGGGUACCUA
This 354-nucleotide ribosomal RNA is filed under the name Ehrlichia canis. RNAcentral describes it as "bacterial SSU rRNA". It matches the Rfam family "Bacterial small subunit ribosomal RNA", at positions 93 to 464 of the family's 1533-position model. The record is from RNAcentral. Lineage: Bacteria; Pseudomonadati; Pseudomonadota; Alphaproteobacteria; Rickettsiales; Anaplasmataceae.